RNAcentral lists this ribosomal RNA (1005 nucleotides) under Neisseria meningitidis alpha522. RNAcentral's name for it is "bacterial SSU rRNA". It matches the Rfam family "Bacterial small subunit ribosomal RNA", at positions 8 to 1002 of the family's 1533-position model. The record is from RNAcentral. Lineage: Bacteria; Pseudomonadati; Pseudomonadota; Betaproteobacteria; Neisseriales; Neisseriaceae.
AGAGUUUGAUCCUGGCUCAGAUUGAACGCUGGCGGCAUGCUUUACACAUGCAAGUCGGACGGCAGCACAGAGAAGCUUGCUUCUCGGGUGGCGAGUGGCGAACGGGUGAGUAACAUAUCGGAACGUACCGAGUAGUGGGGGAUAACUGAUCGAAAGAUCAGCUAAUACCGCAUACGUCUUGAGAGAGAAAGCAGGGGACCUUUGGGCCUUGCGCUAUUCGAGCGGCCGAUAUCUGAUUAGCUGGUUGGUGGGGUAAAGGCCUACCAAGGCGACGAUCAGUAGCGGGUCUGAGAGGAUGAUCCGCCACACUGGGACUGAGACACGGCCCAGACUCCUACGGGAGGCAGCAGUGGGGAAUUUUGGACAAUGGGCGCAAGCCUGAUCCAGCCAUGCCGCGUGUCUGAAGAAGGCCUUCGGGUUGUAAAGGACUUUUGUCAGGGAAGAAAAGGCUGUUGCUAAUAUCAGCGGCUGAUGACGGUACCUGAAGAAUAAGCACCGGCUAACUACGUGCCAGCAGCCGCGGUAAUACGUAGGGUGCGAGCGUUAAUCGGAAUUACUGGGCGUAAAGCGGGCGCAGACGGUUACUUAAGCAGGAUGUGAAAUCCCCGGGCUCAACCCGGGAACUGCGUUCUGAACUGGGUGACUCGAGUGUGUCAGAGGGAGGUAGAAUUCCACGUGUAGCAGUGAAAUGCGUAGAGAUGUGGAGGAAUACCGAUGGCGAAGGCAGCCUCCUGGGAUAACACUGACGUUCAUGCCCGAAAGCGUGGGUAGCAAACAGGAUUAGAUACCCUGGUAGUCCACGCCCUAAACGAUGUCAAUUAGCUGUUGGGCAACUUGAUUGCUUAGUAGCGUAGCUAACGCGUGAAAUUGACCGCCUGGGGAGUACGGUCGCAAGAUUAAAACUCAAAGGAAUUGACGGGGACCCGCACAAGCGGUGGAUGAUGUGGAUUAAUUCGAUGCAACGCGAAGAACCUUACCUGGUCUUGACAUGUACGGAAUCCUCCG